CUUCCUCCAUGUUCCAAAUAUUAUCCUAGAAAAUUUCUUGUUUUUGUUUUCUGUCUGAGAAAAUAAAAAAAAUCUGGCUUGCUAAAAUCCAUUUCCUGUCAUGUCUUAAAUUAGCCUGGGACCAAUUUGUUUGAAUAUCUGCUCCACCUCUGUAGGGGAAAACUGAUGAGCAGGCUUCAAAUUUCCACAAGUGGGUGCCAACCACGGUGUGCCCUGACGCUGGCUUGGGAUGCUUUCUGGCAAAGGCAGGGUUUCACUUCUGAUUUCAUGGCAAAUCAAACCCUGAAUGAGAAGACAGCUAUAGACAGGAGGGAAAACAGUCUCUUCCGUCUGUCAGUUCUUCUCCUAAUAUCCCUCUCCACCCCAGAAGGAUCCAUUGAUAUGUAACAGGAAAAAUACAGACUACAUGCAAUUCAGUGAAGUGUGAGAAAAAGCUUAGGUAGUUUCCAGGCAAGACUAUCGUAUCAGCAAUGCAAGCAAAGCAUUUGAAAUAGUGAUUCUACUGUGGAAAUGAUACUCACUUCCAGGACCUGCCAGGUGCUACUCUUGAUGCUGAAAACAACCUCUCCUGGAAUGGAGGUAAUAGUGCACUUACUUCUGUGUAGGUAGAUUAACCUAUUUUACCCCUUUUAGAUGGGGAAACGCUAUUGCCCUCCUGUGGCACCAUGAGGCGGAAGAUUGACAAAUAUAUAAUCAUGCAUUUUUUGUUGUUUCCUGAAUUAUGCAGGAUGUGUUUUCCAGUGAAUUCUACUGUGGAGGCUUUCUGAAGUGUCAGAGUCUAUUACCUGCUGCCCAGGAAAAUCUAUUACAGGCAUGUACAAGUGGAGCUGAAAAAGAGGUCUUUACUCACUAACAGAGACUGAGCAAGGACUGCUAAAUUGUACCCUCCAGUACUGUGUUCUCAUGGCUUUUUCUCUCCUUCUUUACGUAUGCUUAACAAGGAAACUCGUUGAAUGCACAUGCUUCUCAAACCUGGGCUUCCCUGGAGGUGCAGUAAAGCCUACAGAAAUCCAGAAGGGGCAAUCUCCAAGUCUUCAGAGCAGCAGAAUUGGAGCUUCAAUCCGCACGCUUGAUUCACUAUUUCUCCCUCCUGAAUCUUGUCUUCCCAAAACUUUGCAGGUGGGUAUCCGUGGACACCUGGGUAUGUAA
Molecule: long non-coding RNA, 1149 nt
Filed under: Macaca fascicularis (crab-eating macaque)
Lineage: Eukaryota; Metazoa; Chordata; Mammalia; Primates; Cercopithecidae
Description: lncRNA (ENSMFAG00000057008.1)
Source: RNAcentral